RNAcentral lists this ribosomal RNA (1201 nucleotides) under metagenome. Its description in RNAcentral is "SSU rRNA". It matches the Rfam family "Eukaryotic small subunit ribosomal RNA", at positions 683 to 1790 of the family's 1831-position model. The record is from RNAcentral.
CAUGCGGUGGACACUUGCUUGUUGCUUUAGGGGGGUGUUUUUUUGGGGCAACCCGAGGACACCACCCGGCGGCAGGGGAAAGGCCACUGCGGGCGGGGCCCAUUUAUAUUUCUCGAAGACGUCACGGGCCCUUAACUGGUGUACUGUGGUCGCGGAUUCGAGACGUUUACUCUGAAAAAAUUAGAGUGUUCAAAGCAGGCAAUCAAAAACGCUUGAAUACAUUAGCAUGGAAUAAUGGAAUAGGACUUUGGUCUUAUUUUGUUGGUUUCUAGGAGUGAAGUAAUGAUUAAUAGGGACAGUUGGGGGCAUUCGUAUUUAAUUGUCAGAGGUGAAAUUCUUGGAUUUAUGAAAGACGAACUUCUGCGAAAGCAUUUGCCAAGGAUGUUUUCAUUAAUCAAGAACGAAAGUUAGGGGAUCGAAGACGAUUAGAUACCGUCGUAGUCCUAACCAUAAACUAUGCCGACUAGGGAUCAGUGGGGAACAAAUCAAAAAACUCCAUUGGCACCUUAUGAGAAAUCAAAGUUUUUGGGUUCUGGGGAAAGUACCAACGCAAGUUGGAAACUUAAAGGAAUUGACGGAAGGGCACACCAGGCGUGGAAUCUGCGGCUUAAUUUGACCCAACACGGGGAAACUCACCAGGUCCAGACAAAAUAAGGAUUGACAGAUUGAGAGCUCUUUCUUGAUUUUUUGGGCAGUGGUGCAUGGCCGUUCUUAGUUGGUGGAGCGAUCUGUCUGGUUAAUUCCGAUAACGAACGAGACCUUAACCUGCUAAAUAGCGACGUCAUUCCUUGUGAAGGACGGAUUUUGACUUCUUAGAGGGACUAUCGGUGACUAACCGAUGGAAGUUUGAGGCAAUAACAGGUCUGUGAUGCCCUUAGAUGUUCUGGGCCGCACGCGCGUUACACUGACAGAGGCAGCGAGUUUUUUUAAAUAUCCUGGCCUGGAAAGGUUUGGGUAAUCUUGUGAAUCUCUGUCGUGAUGGGGAUAGAUCUUUGUAAUUAUCGAUCUUCAACGAGGAAUGCCUUGUAAUCGCGGUUCAUCAAAUCGCGUUGACUACGUCCCUGCCCUUUGUACACACCGCCCGUCGCUACUACCGAUUGAAUGGUUUAGUGAGGUCUCGGGACUGGCGCGGCUUGGCUGUAAAAGGCCGAUCCAUGCUGGGAACUUGCCCAAACUUGAUCAUUUAGAGGAAGUAAAAGUC